Molecule: long non-coding RNA, 940 nt
Filed under: Medicago truncatula (barrel medic)
Lineage: Eukaryota; Viridiplantae; Streptophyta; Magnoliopsida; Fabales; Fabaceae
Description: long non-coding RNA (MTRU_LNC006680)
Source: RNAcentral
ACGAAUUGCUCUGGGCUGCUGCUUGGUUGUAUCAAGCAUCUAACAACCAAUAUUACUUGGAUUACCUUGGUAGAAAUGGUGACUCCAUGGGUGGAACUGGUUGGCAAAUGACUGAAUUUAGUUGGGAUGUUAAGUAUCCUGGUGUUCAAACUUUAGUUGCUAAGGUAACAUCAAUUUUUUCAAAAUAUUGAUAUAAUCAAAUGCAUUUAUUGACAAUGACGCAUAAUGUUCAAACACAUAUUGGCUAAUGUCUAGUAUGUAUUAUCAAACAUUUGUGGCUAAACAGUUUUCUACUGUUUCUUGAUGUGUAGUUCCUGAUGCAAGGGAAAGCUGGUGUUCAUGCACCUGUGUUUGAAAAAUAUCUGCAGAGGUCUGAGUAUUUCAUGUGUUCAUGCAUUGGAAAGGGUACUCGUAAUAUUCAGAAGACACCUGGUGGCCUAAUAUACCGUCAGAGAUGGAACAACCUGCAAUUUGCCACAAGUUCCUCCUUUUUAGCCACUGUCUAUUCUGACUACCUUGCUUCUUCUGGUAGAAACUUGAAAUGUGCUUCUGGAAAUGUUCCUUCUUCCCAGCUUCUCUCCUUUGCAAAGUCUCAGGUAAUUAAUUCCAUCUCAUUUAAUUCAACUUUAAGGUCUAUGAUGUGCAAACACCAGAUACAGAACAUUGACACCAGGCUCACAUUUAAUACGAAGUGUUGGUGCUACAUAUUUCAAGGGAGCUCAUCAAUUUUUGUGUUUAAAAUUAAUCUUCAGGUGGACUACAUUCUUGGAGACAACCCAAGAGCUACAAGUUACAUGGUUGGAUAUGGAAACAAUUACCCUCAAAGAGUUCACCACAGAGGUUCAUCCAUUGUGUCAAUCAAGGCUAAUCCAAAUUUUGUCAGCUGUAAUGGAGGUUAUGCUACUUGGUUUAGCAGCAAAAAGAGCAACACCAAUAUACU